Pollicipes pollicipes is the source of this 360-nucleotide long non-coding RNA. RefSeq lists it as uncharacterized. Lineage: Eukaryota; Metazoa; Arthropoda; Thecostraca; Pollicipedomorpha; Pollicipedidae. The record is from RefSeq and is a predicted model, not a curated record. The transcript is spliced from 3 exons.
CGGAGCCCGCCGGCGGUGUGCAGUGCUCUCUCCGCGCGCGCGAGUGGGGCCCACGUGUGGGGCCCGGUGGUCGGGCGCUGACCACUGGACUCGGAGCGGGCGCGAGCGGCGGGUGACAGAUGGUGCCCAAAUGAGGGACCCGUACUUUCUGGCACAUACACAGGAGGAUAAACAAGUCAAACCCCGUUCUGGUGCGGGCCUCUUGAAGCAACUUGCACGCUUGCAGAUCUCGGUCAGCAGCUGCGGCCGCUCGACAUGGGAAACCAGCAGUCGCAUGGAGCCGAGCCGGGCUCGGCGUGGGUGCGCUCGUUGCCCCGGGACCGCUCGGGCCGGCUGCUCACCUACGGCAGGCCGGCGCUC